CUAAAAGGAGAAGUGAAUUGUGCUAAACUGAUGGAACUUUUGUCUGCUACUUUCUGCAAGACUAAACAUUGGCCUUGGAAAAUCAGAGGGCUCUCCAGCAAGACCUUUCCGGUCAGAUUCCCUCCAUGGAAGAAUUUGGAAGACCUCAUUGAACUGCCUGGUUUUUCCUUACCACAGGAUGUCAAUGUAACAUUAACUGAAUGGAAGGGUGGAUGUGAACCUUUUGGAGAGCUAAUUGAAGCCUGGGUACUGAUUGAGGGGAUUCCCCCAAAGUGGUGCACUUGGAAAGUGUUUGCCCAAAUUGCUUCCCUAUUUGGGGUACUUACAGAUGUGGAUUGGAAUGGAAUGUUCAGAACCUUUUUUGAGAAUGUCAGAAUCAAAAUAGCCUGCAGAGAUCCAACCAAGAUUCCUUUUGAGAGACUGAUUGAGAUGAAGAAGAAAAUUUUUCUACUUGGUUUCACUGUUGAGGGCUUUGAACAAGCAGGUGGGGUUGACUCUGUCAUUGAUGUAGAUGAAGAUGAAGAUGGUAAUGAGGAGGAUGAGAGAGCUGAGGAAGAAAAUGUUGGAAAAGAUAAUAUGGAUCUCAUGGAGAACAUGCUGCUGAUGGGUCAUAUGGAGGUGAUUUGGCCAUUGAUGAAUUAG
Molecule: ribosomal RNA, 642 nt
Filed under: Triticum aestivum (bread wheat)
Lineage: Eukaryota; Viridiplantae; Streptophyta; Magnoliopsida; Poales; Poaceae
Description: partial small subunit ribosomal RNA
Source: RNAcentral